GAAGAAACAAUCUCAACUUGGAUGGCCUGACGAUGCUGAGACAAACACCUUUGGAAUGCCUCUGGGGCUGAUGAGAUCCCAAACGGAGGCCGUGAAAGCUGUACCUCCCUAAGGGGCCACUGGAACUUUCCUGGGAGGAUGAAUCACUGGCUUUGUCCAAAUGUGAUGGACUCCCGUUACACAACCCAG
Sinocyclocheilus rhinocerous is the source of this 189-nucleotide long non-coding RNA. RefSeq lists it as uncharacterized. NCBI's taxonomy places the organism in Eukaryota, Metazoa, Chordata, Actinopteri, Cypriniformes, Cyprinidae. The transcript is spliced from 3 exons. The record is from RefSeq and is a predicted model, not a curated record.